RNAcentral lists this long non-coding RNA (593 nucleotides) under Pogona vitticeps (central bearded dragon). RNAcentral's name for it is "lncRNA (ENSPVIG00000016816.1)". The record is from RNAcentral. Lineage: Eukaryota; Metazoa; Chordata; Lepidosauria; Squamata; Agamidae.
CGGUCCCUGCGAGAGCGCCGCCGAAGGCCCCCCUCCCCUCCCCGAUGGAAGUGAGGCGGCGCUCAAGGACGAAGAGGAGGCGCAAGGGCGCCCAUAGACUUACGAAGACGAGCGAGAGCUACGUUUGCUCUCGGUGACAGACUGGCCGAGGAUAAGGCCUGGGCGUUCCAGGACGGACGGUGUGAGGAGGUGGUGCCUGUGUUCCCGCGGUGCAGGCACUCCAGCAGCAGAAGACCCUGCUCCUUUACCUGAGAAUUAGGAGCCCAAACAGCUGAUGCACUGCCCUCACACACAGUUCCUGUAGCCAAACAAAACCCCAUUCCCUGCCCUCAAGGAGCCUCUCUAGUCUAAACCCGCAACAUUUCUAAUCAGGAGAGAAAGGGGAGGGAGAGGAAACAAGAUUAGAACCUGACGCCCCCUGACACCCUUUUUCCUCUCUUAUCGCUCCUUUCACUUUGUGUAAUGUUUUAUUAUUUAAUAAUUGUUUAUAUAUCAAUUUUAUUGUAGUAUUUAUGUUGUUAGCCGCCUAGAGUGGUCCUGACCCGACCAGAUAGGCGAGAUAUAAAUAAAAUAAAAUAAAACAAAAUAAAACA